CAGAAGAUAGUUUAAACAAAACCCUAACUUUGGGAGUUAGUAAUUAACUACAGUUAUCUCCUGAA
This 65-nucleotide transfer RNA is filed under the name Goniada japonica. RNAcentral describes it as "tRNA-Pro". The record is from RNAcentral. Lineage: Eukaryota; Metazoa; Annelida; Polychaeta; Phyllodocida; Goniadidae.